Molecule: small nucleolar RNA, 136 nt
Organism: Peromyscus californicus insignis
Lineage: Eukaryota; Metazoa; Chordata; Mammalia; Rodentia; Cricetidae
Product: small nucleolar RNA SNORA46
Exons: 1
Source: RefSeq, a predicted model, not a curated record
AGCACUAUAUUUAAACCUGUGGAUGGGAAUUUUCCCCAUUCUUGGUUACGCUGUAGUGCAAAAAGAAUUCCUGGCUCCUUCUUGCACAGCUGACUUGUGUUAUUUGGCUGUUGCUUUAUGGAGUUAAGGAACAUAA